UUUUUUGAUAAAUUCACAUAGGAAGUGCCUUAGUACUUUUAUUAAAACUAAAAUACUGUUUCAGUUCCAUAAAGUACAGUAAUCCAUCAAUCUAUGGGGCCAGCUUCUGUUUAUAUGUGCACAUUGCUCUCUGCAGACCAAGGGGGACUGAAUGAGAUGCUGUUACAGACCUGGUCUCCCUGACAACAGGGAAAAUGAUCAGAUCCCAGACAAUAGGAUUCCCAAAUAAGAGAAGCCAAGUAACGGUGAUUAACCAUCAAAAGAAAAACGGGGACAGUUAUUACAAUGAACUGCUUGUCAAUGAAUGACAAGCAACAAGGGUCGGGGGGUGUUCCAGUUUUCCAAGAGCUAUAGACAUGUGGACCAAACCAUGAUGCUGCUGAAGACAUGAUAGGUAGGUUUUGUUUAAUUUGUAACAAUCUAAGAAAAUCAGUUACAAAAUGAUCAGGAGUCUAAGGCCAGUUACCAUAAUAAAAAUACUAUCUCUUGCCCAGUUUCUGGAACCUUAAUGGAUUCAGACCCAGAAUUCACUGAAGGAAAGUGAUCUGGCUUCUAGUGAGAAGGGUCCCUGCCACAUGUUGCCAAAUAAUUUCCUGGGUCCUUCCUCAAAGGACCUAAAGCCGUUGGCUCAGACAUCCAUGCAUUUGGAGAAAAGUGAAUUGUUAGACACAGAAUCGGAAUUAAACAUGAUACUCAGGGAGUUCCUAUCAUGGCAGAGCAGAAACGAAUCCGACUAGGAACCAUGAGGUCACAGGUUCAAUCCCUGGCCUUGCUCAUGGGUUAAGGAUCCUGCGUUGCCAUGAGUUGUGGUGUAGGUCGCAGAUGCAGCUUGGAUCUGGUAUUGCUGUGGCUAUGGCGUAGGCCAGCAGCGACAGCUCUGAUUGGACCCCUGGCCUGGGAACCUCCAUAUGCCUCGGGGGUGGCCCUAAAAAGCAAACAAAACAAAACAAAACAAGUUGGUAAUAAAAGACAGCCUGAGGGGUGUGCAGUCCAUUCAUUAUUGCUGCCCUGUAGAUUUUAGAAUCAGUCAGAUGAGAAUGCACAGAACCCACUGAUUUAAACUCUAGAUUCCAACUCUCCUUCACACUUCUUAUCACCACUCGAGACCACUUUAAUAAAGAACAUUUCUCCUCUGCUUUCAGUGAAAUGCCACAAAAUCACAGCUAAUGGAAUUACCACUUUUGCUUUCAACAGAUGUGUGUUUCCUGUUCACUGACAAAUACUGGGCUAGAUAUGGGAUGGUUAGCUAUGGUCCCCCUGCUCCUGAAGAAUUAAGGAGGUGAGUGAGUGAAUGCAGGCUUCUAGAUUCUGACCUUGAUGGCACAGAGCAGGUUGCCAUGAACGGCAGCGGCCAGAGGACCUGGGAGCACUGUGAGGAGGAGUCCUUGGAGAAGUGGUCUGGAGGAUGAGAGCCAGCCAGGCUGGGCAGAUGCAUGUUGUUCAGGCCAGUGGAGCAUCUUGAAGAAAAACUUCUCUGUGAUCCAAAGGGAAAGAGCUUAAGCCCGGAAGAGAGAUCAGGGGGAAAGGCAAGGGUGACCGACAGAGGCACCAUCAAGAAAGAAAACAUGGGAAGGAGGAGUAGCGACCAAGUCUCUUUCUCUAAAAGAAAUUUUUCUUAGGAGUUUUCACCAGGAAAACUAUGCUUCUUCCACACCAGGGAUUGGCACCAUUUUUGCCAAGGACCAGAGAGUAAAUAUCGUGGUCUUUCAGGAUCAGAGACGGUCUCUGUUGCAUGUCCUAUGGGGACCUGCUGUGUAGCUCAGGGAACUCUACCUAAUAUUCUCUGAUAACCUGUAUGGGAAAAGAACCUGAAAAAGAAUGGAUAUGUGUACAUGUAUAAUGGAAUCUCUUUGCUGUACACCUGAAACUCACAUAACAUUGGAUAUCACCUAUACGUCAAUAAAACUUAAAAACAAAGACAAGGGAGUUCUCUUCGAGGCUCAGUGGUUAAUGAACCCAACUAGGAUCCAUGAGAAUGAGGGCUGGAUCCCUGGCCUCGAUCAGUGGGUUAAGGAUCUGGCAUUGCCAUGAGCUGUGGUGUAGGUUGCAGAUGCGGCUCAGAGCCCGAGUUGCUGUGUCUGUGGCGUAAGCUGGCAGCUGCAACUCCGAUUGGACCCCCAGCCUGGGAAUUUCCAUAUGCCUUGGGUGCGGUCCUGAAAAAGCAAACAAAAGAGACAGAAACAAACAACACCUUGAAAAUGUCAAAGGAGGAGUUCCCGUCAUGGUUCAGUGGUUAAUGAAUCUGACUAGGAACCAUGAGGUUGAGGGUUUGAUCCCUGGCCUCGCUCUCUGAUUAGACCCCUAACCUGGGAACCUCCAUAUGCCACGGGUGUGGCCCUGAAAACAACAAAAUACCAAAAAAAAAAAAA
Molecule: long non-coding RNA, 2369 nt
Filed under: Sus scrofa (pig)
Lineage: Eukaryota; Metazoa; Chordata; Mammalia; Artiodactyla; Suidae
Description: lncRNA (ENSSSCG00015060571.1)
Source: RNAcentral